CCUACCUUUCAGUGACUGCUAGGUCUGUAGAUCAGCACCGGGAUGGCGACAUCCAGACCUAGACCGCCUUUGGGUGGGGAGCGCGGUGGAGGCUGGAGCAUAGGCUAGCAAUACCUGGCGUCAGUGGGGCCCUGGUCCUAUGGACCAGGUGUGCUGGUGUCUUCUGGAGAUCGGGUGCCCAUCCCUUGAGAUCUUGUUUGUCGUCCUCAUUGCCCCUGAGGACAAUGUUCAGUGCCAGGCUCCCCUUGUAAAUUCUGAAGGUGAGAGAUGCCGCGAAGUUUCCAGAGAUAUGGACCCUGCGGAAAUACUGGUAAUACGUGUUUUCCCAGCGACUGAAUGAAUGGUAGGCCUGGGGACUGACACGAGGGUGUGGAAUUAUAAAUCUAGGCUCAAUUCCCGCUCCAUUCUGGCUUAGAACCCGCAGUAGAAGGUGGUGUCCUUCAACUCAUUUUUUCACUGAAGUGGGAAGAAAGGUGAUAAGGCUUUCAAGUGGUGACAUCUCUUCUUUACAUUAAAAAAAAAAAGCAUUUUUAAAGCCAAAUUUCACUCUCUGCUUCCUUGUCACCAUUCCCAGCUUCCCAUCCUGAACGCACCCUCUCUAGCAGCCAUCUCACUUUCUCUCUCAGGUAUGGUAAUUCCUCAGAUAGCAUUAAAGAUCCAGAAGUCAUCAGCUUCAUAGGCCUGGUCAGUCAGAAUAUUUGAAUUAAAAUCAGAUAUUUAAGUUAUAAAAGAGAGUUACACUAGUCAUACUUCCUGAAAAGUUUUGAAAAUGGGGGCCAGAUCUUUGUAGUCUGACAUUCUGGGGUGGGGGUUAGGGUAAAUGUUUGUGGAUUGAUUACAUGGGAGGUUCUUUUUUUUUCCCCCCAAUAUUUAUUUUUUAGUUGUAGUUGGACACAACACCUUUAUUUCACUUGUUUAUUUUUGUAUGUGGUGCUGAGGAUUGAACCCAGGGUCUCCCUGUGCCAGGCGGGGCCUGUACCCCUGAGCUACAACUCCAGCCCACAUGGGAGGUUCUUAACGUGGAAUAUGGAAUAUGUGGUUUAGUUUCACCACUAUUGUUGGCCCUUCCUAUCUUCAGGUUGCAUAUCUGUAGAUUCAAACAAGUGUGGAUUGAAAAUAUGCUGGAGAUAAAUGUGCCUGAGACUAGUGGGAUAUCUCAGUUGGUAGCACUCUUGCAUAGCAGGAGUCCUUGGAUUCAGCCUCUGGCAGUACACACAGACACAGACGCACACACACAUAUACACAGGAAAAAGAAAAGAAAAAAAAUUUGUCUGUAUUGAACAUUAAAAGAACUUUUCUUUUGAUGGAGAAGCCUUGAACUGAGAAACUCACACAUGCUAGGCAAGUGCUGUACUAUCACUAAGCUACAUCCUCAGCUCUUUUUAAAUUUCAGGUUGAAAACAGUAUCUAACUAAAUUGCCAUCUGGCCUUGAACUUGAAGUCCUCUAUCAGUCUCCCAAGUAGCUGGGAUGAUAGGUGUUUGCCUCCAGUUUACCUUCUAUGCUACUUUUAUGAUUCUUUCUAAAAACAUAGAGCUCUUAUCUGAAUAGCUCCUUGGAUGUCAGACCUGACAAGUUUCCUCCUUUGUCAUGUGCCCUUGCACCAAACCAGAACAAAUAAUUAUCAGAAAAGAACAAUACAUAUGUAUAUAUAUGCAUUAAAAUUGUGUUCAAUUAUUCAGGGAAGGGUUAACUGAUUAGGUAUGCAUCUGCUUUCUCAUUAUGCUAGAGCCUUUAUAAUAUAAUUACCUCAAAAUCUUAUAGGGGUUAGAGGUUUUAAGGGUCUGUCUCAGCCCAUUGUCCCUAAUUUCUUGUUCUAUCAUCAGACACUGCCUAAAAUCUCUCUCUCUUCCUGAUGUUCACAGCAGAUAUUGCAUAACCUCUAAUUGUUACUGAAACACAUGGCUUAAAUAGUUACUUCAGAAAUAGGAAAGAUUUGCUUAUUAAAAAAAAAGUGAAUUCCCAGGAGCAGGAGCUUAGUAUGUUUCAUGGAUCUCAGGUAAUAAUGAUUUAGUCAUUCAUUUAUGUAUUGAUUUUAGAAAUAUUUUCUGCUAGGCGUGAUGGCUCAUGUAAUCCUGGCAGCUGUGAAGACUGAGGCAGCAGGAUCACAAGUUCAAAGCCAGCUUCAGCAACUUUGCAAGGCCCUGAGCAACUCAGGGAGACCCUGUUUCAAAGUAAAACAUAAGAAGGGCUGGGAUGUGGGGCAGUGCUUAAGUGCCCCUGGGUUCAAGUUUCAAUUCCUAGUACCCCCCAACCCCAAAAAAGAAAAAAAUAAACAAAGAAAGAAAUAUUUUUAAGACUACACAUAUGGCAGGUACUGUUGAAAUAGUGAACUGUGAACAAAAUUCCUGUUCUUUUGUGGUUUAUCUUUUUGCCUAAUAAACUAAUUAUUGGUUUGGGGUAAAACUUAUUUAUUUAUUUAUUUUGUGCUAAGGAUGAAACCCAAGGCCUUGUUCAUGCUAAAUGCUAGGCAAGCCCUGUACCACUGACCUAUUCUCCUAGUUCAGGCAGAGAAGGGGCACUUUUGCAGAUUACCAGCAGUUAGCUGAUAUUUUAAGCCAUGUGAGUAAAUAAGUUUACCUGGGCUAAUGAUUGGAAUAAGAAUGGAAGAGGGCUUAAGACUAAGUAGAAACCCUCAUAUGUGUAGGAGAGUUUUCAGGUGGGGACAGAGGUUGAGGGAUCCAAGAGUGCUGGGUCAGGGAAGCCCAGGAGGGGGAGAAGAAGGAAGAUGUAGGGCUCCACCAUGUCUCUUGCUAUAAUUGAAAAAUAUGUGGUCAGAUAAAUAUCUAGUAAAUACAUUCAGGUCAUUGGUGUCUUUUGUUAGUGUAGUGAGGCAGAGUAGGCCUAGGAGUACAAAGCAGAGCAUACUUGGUAAACUUUGUGACUUUUUCAAGGAGAUCUUUUUUUUUUUAAUGUGGUGCUGAGGAUCGAACCUGGGUCCCGCGCGUGCUAGGUGAGCAUUCUGCCGCUGAGCCACAAUCCCAGCCCCAAGGAGAUCUUAGAGUUAAAUAUCAACAGUAGUUACCGCUUAAAUACAGGAUUUUGAUUUUUUUUUUGUUCCUGUUGGCUCUUCAGAGUAUUCCUAGAAUGUGACCUCUUCUUACCACCUUUACUGCAGCUCCUUGGUCUGAACUUCCGUUAUCUCUCAAAUUGAUUACCGAAUUGCCUUCUACUGGUCUUUCUAUGAUAAUCCUUGUCCCCUACAGUUUGCUGUUAACACAGCAGUCAGCAUGAUAGGUAAGACCAUGUCAGCUCAUGCUACUCCUCCAUUUACAACCCUUUACUGGCUCACGUACUCACUCUUAUCUUCUUUCUGCUGUUAUUUCACAUAUCUGACUUCUGUUACUAUCUCUUUUCUUUCCUGUGGUCCAGUCAUGUUGUCCUCCUUGCCAUUCCUCCAACACAUCAGACAAGGUCCUGCCUUAGGAGAAGCACUGACUGUUGCCUUUGCUAUGUAUUCUUCUAUUAGAGACCAACUUAGCAAACUCAAAUCUUUGUUUAAAUCUUGUCUUCUGGGGCUAGGGGCAGUAACUCAGUGGUAGAGUACGUACUUUGCAUAUGUGAGGCCCAGAUUUCAAUCCCCAACAUCCUCCAUCAUCCAGAAAAAAAAAAAAUUGUCUUUUCAUUGAACUUGUGUUGAUUUCUGUAUUUAAAACAGCAACCCAGGGGCUGGAGUUGUGGCUGAGUGGAAUAGCACUUGCCUAGCAUGUGUGAGGCACUGGGUUCUAUCCUCAGCACCACAUAUAAAUAAAUGAGUAAAAAAGGUCCAUCAACAUUUAAAAUAAAUAAAUAGCAACCCAAUCCCACCAGGUUGGGAGGCUGAGGCAAGAGUAUCGCAAAUUUAGUCAGCCUCAGUGAACUAAUGAUGCCCUAAACAGGUAGAGAGAGAAGAUGGGAGGGGAGGGGAGGGGGGAUAGUAGAGGAUAGGAAAGAUAGCAGAGUACAACAGUCACUAGUAUGGCAAUAUGUAAAAACGUGGAUAUGUAACCGAUGUGAUUCUGCAAUCUGUAUACGGGGUAAAAAUGGGAGUUCAUAACCCACUUGAAUCAAAUGUAUGAAAUAUGAUAUGUCAAGAGCUUUGUAAUGUUUUGAACAACCAAUUAAAAAAAAAUGAUGCUCUAAACAACUUAGUGAGACUUUGUCUCAAAAUGAAAAAUAGAAAGGGGCUGAGGGUGUAGCUCAGUGAUUAAGUAUUUCUGGUACAAUCCUCAGCAAAUAAAUAAAUAAAUAAACAAAUAAAUAAAUAAAUAAAUAAAUAAAUAAAUUUGCAACCCAGCCAAGACUGGUGGCAAGUGCUUGCAGUCCCUAGUACUUGGGAGGCUAAGGCAGGAGAAUCACUUGAGUCAGGAGUUGGAGACCAGUCUGGAUCAUAUAAUGAGACCUUGUGUCAAAACAAAAACAAAGAAACAAGCUAAAAAACUAAAAAUAAGUUUGCUGCACUUUAAGAAAAGCAAUGUUUGCAAUCCAGUCUCUGCUCCUUUCUCUUCCAGGGCCCAGCCAGUUUCCGAAUCUGUCUUGUAAUUAUUUGCUUACUUGUUAUGCUUUGUGACUUUUGCCUGUGUUCCUCCAGUAGCAUGAAAACUCUGCUGAGCAAGAAUUUUUGUCUGUUUUGUGUUCUAAUGUAUUCCAAGAGACUAGGAGAGUGCCUGGCAGAGAUUAAGCACUUAAUGAAUAGUGGUUCGAUGAAUGACUGAACAUGCAUAUUUUAUAAGAUCAGACAAAAGGAACGCAAAUGACUGUGGGUUGGAAGGAAAAAGGAAAACCUGUCCUUGCUAAGAGAAGGGACUGUUUCCACUUGAAUUUCUGACCCUUAUUUUCCUGUUCUUCAGGUGAAACAGAGGAGGAAUGAUUGUGAAUAGUGUCUCUCUGUGCUACCACAACAAAUUCAUCUUAGCCCCUAUGGUUCGGGUUGGCACUCUCCCAAUGCGGCUGCUGGCCCUGGAUUAUGGAGCUGACAUUGUUUACUGUGAGGUAA
Molecule: long non-coding RNA, 4974 nt
Filed under: Marmota monax (woodchuck)
Lineage: Eukaryota; Metazoa; Chordata; Mammalia; Rodentia; Sciuridae
Source: RNAcentral